Molecule: non-coding RNA, 83 nt
Organism: Schistocephalus solidus
Lineage: Eukaryota; Metazoa; Platyhelminthes; Cestoda; Diphyllobothriidea; Diphyllobothriidae
Source: Rfam
GGCCUCGUAGCUCAGUUGGCUAGAGCGUUGGCUGUACUACAGCCUUCCCCUUGCUGUCGUGGGUUCGAAUCCUGCCGAGGCCG